GAAGCUGGCAAUUUUUUUUAUAUAUUUUUUAUUAUUAUUUUUUUUAAUCUCCAUGGUGCUGUUACAGAUAGAUUUAAAACUGCUUACAGGCCUACUGGCUGGGCUCUGUAAAAAGUGAGUACAGUAAAAUAUUGUUCUUUUUCCUCAUUAAAGCAUUAUGAGUCCAGUUUGACAUAAAAUCCAUAAAACAUAUGGAUUUGGGGAACUCUGAAUCAUUAAUAACACAAUGGCUUGUUUGUGAAGUAAAUAUAAGGGAAAGAUGAAGUGGAAAUUAAAUGUAAUUGAAAAGGAAGUGAAAUUUUAUAAACAUAAUAUCUCUUACCAGUAUGGUUUAGACUACUGGUUUAACUGUAAAUCAGAACAGAUUCGGAUCAUAUUUUAAUCCAGGUGAUUUUAAGUGCAGCUGAAAAUGAUUUUCUAACUUCCUGACUUUUUUUUUUUUUUUUUUUUUUUUUUUGAAUCAGCAGGCAGAUUAUCCUCAUUUUGGGGUCACAGCCUGUGUUUUGGCUGGUGACGACACAACAUUCAGGUCCCUGAGAGGACUGUGACCAUGAGCAGGGCCAUACAGGGAGCAGAGGUGGUAUGGGUGAAACCUCCAGGGCUUUGCUGUGUUCAUAUACAAGCACUGCUCAUUCUCCUAUCUAGGGUGAGGGGAAGCAAGUCCAAGCUUUGCUGUGUCACACAUGACACUGUGACAACAAAUCCCAGAGAGAUUCUUUUGGUCUUGUUUUGUUUUAAUCCUAUACUCUGCUGAGAGUUUGUAUAGUUGCUGUGAAAGAAGCAGCUGCUACAGGUCCCAGGCAACUUCUCAGCAUUUCUUGCCUCUGUCUAUAAGGCUGGAUAUGCUGGAAAUAGUUUGAAGCAGCUCACAUGCUGCUGAAGAAAAUCUGUAGAGUGAGUAUGUGAAGAAGGUACUGGCUGGUGGGGCCUGGAGGGCAGCCAGGAUUGAACACAAGGAAACUCUUUGGGUCCCUCUUUGUCCCACAUGACCAGAUCUUUCAUUUUCCCACACUACUUCCCCAUCCUGAUUCUGUGUUUUUGUGUAUCUUUCUGUAAUUUCUGGAAACAUGAUUUUUGUUGUUGUUGUUUGUUUUGUUUGUUUGUUUGUUUUACUGUUUUUCAUUACUUGGAUGUUGAAAGGUAAGCCUCCUCCCUUGUACAGAGAUUAACAAAAUGAAUCUUGGUACAGAAGAUGCCAUCUUCUCCUUUUCCCUUUUCUUAAUGAAAUUAUGCUUUCUGUAUAGACUGGAACCACAAAAUUGCACUGACAAUCUGUGGAGUGCUCUUUUCCUCUAGCACUGCUAACUGGGAAUGUAGAUAUUUCACAAGGACAUCUCAAUUUCUUUGAAGUAUUGAAAUAAUCUACCAAAACAUUAUAUAUAAAUAUAUAGAAGCAUUAUAUAUACAUAUGUAGAAGGAUAUUUUUAUCUGUUUUGUUUGGAGAGCUAUACUAGCUGUAGCUGGGUAGAUGGGUUUGUUGCUCAUACUAGUUUUUACACCGAUUCUUUCAUUCCAACACUUCUGAAAAGCACAAACAACUCUUCAUAUGUAUGUAUUGCAAAUUGCUUGACAACUGUUUAGUAAUGGCACUAAACUAAUUAAAUGACAGAUAAAUAAUUUCAUAGUGUAGACUGCAGACUGACAGCCUUGUAUUCAAGGCUAGCAAAGUUACAGAAGUAGCCAUAUCAUAUUUACAGAAUCCCUUACCAACAAUACAACAUUAAUCAUCAAAAUGAUGACAUCUGGCAUCCAUGCUUGUUUGGAUUUUGGGCAGCUCAUGAACAAGCACAGACAAUUACACCAAAUUGCACUGUUUGGUGUUGAAAAUAAGGAUUAUGCUGAGUCUCUCAAACUGAUAUUUGUCAAGGCUAUAAGGUGAAUUUAUACCAAAUCAUGAAAAUAAGUGAAAAUGUGACAUUUCUCUAGGUUAGUGAAAAAGCUGUU
Oxyura jamaicensis (ruddy duck) is the source of this 1944-nucleotide long non-coding RNA. RefSeq lists it as uncharacterized. The transcript is spliced from 2 exons. NCBI's taxonomy places the organism in Eukaryota, Metazoa, Chordata, Aves, Anseriformes, Anatidae. The record is from RefSeq and is a predicted model, not a curated record.